GAUGAACGCUGGCGGCGUGCCUAAUACAUGCAAGUCGAGCGAACAGAUGAGGAACUUUCUCCUCUGACGUUAGCGGCGGACGGGUGAGUAACACGUGGAUAACCUACCUAUAAGACUGGGAUAACUUCGUGAAACCGGAGCUAAUACCGGAUAAUAUAUUGAACCGCAUGGUUCAAUAGUGACAGACGGUUUUGCUGUCACUUAUAGAUGGAUCCGCGCGGCAUUAGCUAGUAGGUAAGGUAACGGCUUACCUAGGCAACGAUGCGUAGCCGACCUGAGAGGAUGAUCGGCCACACUGGAACUGAGACACGGUCCAGACUCCUACGGGAGGCAGCAGUAGGGAAUAUUCCGCAAUGGGCGAAAGCCUGAUGGAGCAACGCCGCGUGUGUGAUGAAGGUCUUCGGAUCGUAAAGCUCUGUUAGUGGGGAGGAACAGAUGUGUGAGUAUAUAUGCACGUAUUGACGGUACCUAAACAGAAAGCAACGGCUAACUACGUG
This 497-nucleotide ribosomal RNA is filed under the name uncultured bacterium. RNAcentral's name for it is "partial 16S ribosomal RNA". It matches the Rfam family "Bacterial small subunit ribosomal RNA", at positions 28 to 507 of the family's 1533-position model. The record is from RNAcentral.